GACUCGUGCAACUUGUCUCGCAACGCCAUUGCGAGACAAGUUGCAUGAAAAAUUGCACCGUGUAACAGGGCCUUUAAAGGUCUCCUUUUUUUAUACACCGUGUAUAUCCACUUAUCCAGCUAUCCGUAUACUGGGUGUCCCAAAAAAACCCCACGAAAACCAUUGAAAUCACUUAUUGUUAAAAUUGAAUGCUAUAUCAAAAAGCUGAACGUAAUGAUGCGUAAAAUAUUGACAAGGUGCAUGUAUUAAAAUUUAGUUAAGACAUCUCCUUGUAAAGUUUGCGAUUUUCUGCUCUUGGGAAUUUAAAGCAGCUUCCUAAAUAGUUUCUUUGUGCAUAAAAUUUACUCAUGUAAAUCAUUUAUGCACUCGUGGGAACCAAUAGAGUGCUUAUAGGCAUUCAAAUUCUAACAAUUAAAUUGUUAUUGGUGAUUUCAAUAGUUUUCGUUUUUUUGGGACACCCUGUAUAUCUACAGUAUCUGCA
Molecule: non-coding RNA, 481 nt
Organism: Paramuricea clavata
Lineage: Eukaryota; Metazoa; Cnidaria; Anthozoa; Malacalcyonacea; Plexauridae
Source: the annotation of a GenBank genome assembly